Molecule: ribosomal RNA, 234 nt
Filed under: uncultured Glomus
Lineage: Eukaryota; Fungi; Glomeromycota; Glomeromycetes; Glomerales; Glomeraceae
Description: partial 18S ribosomal RNA
Rfam family: Eukaryotic small subunit ribosomal RNA
Source: RNAcentral
UUGGAGGGCAAGUCUGGUGCCAGCAGCCGCGGUAAUUCCAGCUCCAAUAGCGUAUAUUAAAGUUGUUGCAGUUAAAAAGCUCGUAGUUGAAUUUCGGGAUCAAUAUAUUGGUCAUGCUUAGGUAUGUACUGGUAUUAUUGAUUUCUCCCUUCUGAAGAACCAUGAUGUCAUUUAUUUGAUGUCGUGGGGAAUCAGGACUGUUACUUUGAAAAAAUUAGAGUGUUUAAAGCAGGC